CAUUCUGUUUUUGGCCCUUUCUGCGUACACGUUCCGAUCCUCCUUUCGUCUCAGAAGGGAGGCAGCUCUCCCUUUGAAGCGUGACCGCCUCACGCCGGCCAGCAGGCGGCAGCACCGCGCAACUCAGGGCGCUCCGCCCCGCGCUGACGUCAUCUCCCCGCGCCAGCCACCCGUCGCAGAGCGCCGCAACGUGCUGUGCGCGAGCCGGCCCGGCCGGGCUUUGCGCGGUGCCGUGGCGGGGUCGGAGGGCCGCGUGCCGAUGCGGGGCGGGCAGGAUGCAGCAGAAGCUGCUGCGCAGCGCGCACUACAUCGAGCUGGGCGGCUACCAGUACUGGCCCGUGCUGCUGCCGCGCGGCAUCCGUCUGUACACCUACGAGCAGAUCCCCGUCUUCCUGAGGGACAACCCCUACAUCACCGACGGCUACCGCGCCUACCUGCCCUCGCGCCUCUGCCUCCGCAGCCUCUUUAUCCUCUCCAACGAGAGCGUCAACAUCUGGAGCCACCUGCUGGGCUUCCUGCUCUUCUUCACGCUGGGAAUCCGCGACCUGACCGUCGUGCUGCCCGCCGCUCGCGCCGCCCGCGAGGACUUCGUCAUCUGCGCCGUCUGCCUCUUCUGCUUCCAGGUCUGUAUGCUUUGCUCAGUAGGAUAUCAUCUCUUCUGUUGUCAUCGCUCAGAGAAGACCAGCCGACGAUGGAUGGCAUUAGAUUACGCAGGAAUUUCCAUUGGUAUCCUAGGCUGCUACGUAUCAGGCGUGUUUUAUGCAUUUUAUUGUAGUAAAUACUGGCGUCAGGUGUACUUAAUCACUGUGCUGGCAAUGAUCUUGGCAGUAUUUUUUGUUCAGAUUCAUCCCAAUUACCUCACGCAGCAGUGGCGCAGGCUGCGCUCCAUCAUCUUUUGCUCAGUGUCUGGAUAUGGCAUUAUUCCUACUAUCCACUGGGUUUCACUGAACGGUGGCAUUGGUGCAGCUAUUGUACAGGUAAAAGAAAAUAAUACGGAAAUAAGAUUUACUUUUGCUUUGCACUUAGCAUCUUCCCUCCCUCGGUCUCAUUUUGGAAAUGAGGGAGAAGUAGAGCUAGUAAAGAUUUCUUAAAGCACAGAAUUCCUUUGGAUGUUAUUACAGCCCAAACGCUGAGAUUUAUGGAAAGCCAAUCAACAGGUUGAGUAGAUGAAAUCUAUUUCAGUGAUUUAAAGCUGCACUGUGAGAAGACCCACCUGGAUGCAAACAUGACCACCAGGCGUGCUUGCCUGAGGGGCAGAGCAGUCUGUGCAGGUCAGACGCACCCUUGCACUCCUCAGGGCAAGGAGCAGGAGCAGAGAGCUGAGUCAGCAGGCGAGUGGGAAGCAGUCAGUCAGGAUGCACAGGUUGCAGAGGUGAGGUGAACCAGGAGACAUGGGUGGGAAGUUUUUCCUCUUCUGUGCCCUGGGUUGGUGGCAAAAUCAGCAUUUGCCUACACAGCUUUCUGUCUCUCAUGCAUAACUUGUUUAAUAUCACUGUUAAGUUACCAAACUAAUUUCCCUCUCUUGCUUUACCAUUAUGGUAAAGGUUACUCAGCUCUGAAAAACAGGAAGUACAGCACUGUUAACGAAGAUGAAUUUGCCCCAAGAUUUAAAUUGUUCCCCCAAGAAUCACAGCCAUUAGCCAGCUGAAAAAAACCUUUGCUUUCAUAGCAAGUACUGCCUGUGAAAGUUCUUAAGAUUGGCACUUCAGGACUGUUUUCUAGGAUGCUGAUUUAGCCUGGUCCAGAGCUACUGCUGAAUUUGGAAGAGCAGCACUGAUAAUAAAUGCAGUCUUCAGACAAGGAGUUUGCUCCACGUGUGGUUGUCAUGUAUUUCAUUGCUGCUGUAGCUUUUCUCUUCUAUAUUUCCAAAGUUCCAGAAAGAUACUUU
Non-coding RNA from Phasianus colchicus (ring-necked pheasant), 1888 nucleotides. Lineage: Eukaryota; Metazoa; Chordata; Aves; Galliformes; Phasianidae. The record is from RefSeq and is a predicted model, not a curated record.